UACGGAGGGGGCGAGCGUUGUCCGAAGUUACUGGGCGUAAAGCGCGCGUAGGCGGGGUGUUAAGUCUGCUGUGAAAUCCUGAGGCUCAACCUCAGUAGGUCGGUGGAUACUGGCAUCCUGGAAGCGAAUAGGGGGAGAUGGAAUUACUAGUGUAGCGGUGAAAUGCGUAGAUAUUAGUAGGAACACCCGUGGCGAAGGCGGUCUCCUGGGUUUGUCUUGACGCUGAGGCGCGAAAGCUGGGGGAGCGAACGGG
Molecule: ribosomal RNA, 253 nt
Filed under: uncultured bacterium
Lineage: Bacteria
Description: partial 16S ribosomal RNA
Rfam family: Bacterial small subunit ribosomal RNA
Source: RNAcentral